This 438-nucleotide long non-coding RNA is filed under the name Pan troglodytes (chimpanzee). RNAcentral describes it as "long non-coding RNA NONPTRT012206". The record is from RNAcentral. Lineage: Eukaryota; Metazoa; Chordata; Mammalia; Primates; Hominidae.
ACUUUAUCAUUUUUUUCCAAGAUAAAAUUGCAUUUUCUAUUCUGUCACUGAAAUGGAAAAAUCACCCAAGGGACUGGUUAGAGAAGGCUGUUUAAGAGUUUUGUUCAAAUUUGUGUUUAAAAAGCACAGACUUUUGAACAUGGUUAGCAAUGCUAGUGGCUAUCAUAUUGGACAGCAGAGCUCUAGCCCUUCUAACUCAGUAGAUGCAGUAGACGUGGUGAGGUUUUGUCCAGAUGUUCCACUGUGAUGCCCCAUCCUGUCAAGAGAGAGCCUGUUGUCUCAGCUGCUGUGAGUUCUGUCAGCAGAUAGCUUCUCACUGUUAAGAUUUUCAGGGUUUGCCUCAGUCAUCCAGUCUUCACACAAUGGCACAACGUUCUGGGGGAGGCACACUUCCAAUGACUGAUUGCAGAAACGGCCUAGAGACCGGGCCAUUGGGAC